Molecule: long non-coding RNA, 478 nt
Filed under: Brachypodium distachyon (stiff brome)
Lineage: Eukaryota; Viridiplantae; Streptophyta; Magnoliopsida; Poales; Poaceae
Description: long non-coding RNA (BDIS_LNC004693)
Source: RNAcentral
GACCGCGCCGCCCCGCGCCACCGCCUGCGAGCCACCCCGCAGCCAGCGGAAGCCCUAGCCCGGGCCAACCAGUUGCUGCCACGUGGCGAGGCCUUUUUAUUUUAUUUUAUUUUAUUUUAUUUCGGCACGAUUAGAUAAUGCAAAUUUUGUAGAAAGGCCCCUAACCUCAAAUCUUUCAAACCGUUUGUCCAAAAAUUGUGAUCCGCACCUUUCUAGAAUCGUCACGACUUGUAGAAUAUUUUGGCACUGUCUAAUUUCAGUUUUGAAUAACUUAGUCAGAAGCAAUUUACAGAAUAGUGGUCUAUGGUUUAAAUUUCAAAUGAAUUGUUUCAAAAUAGUUUUGAGCAAGUUAGCUUGCUAUAAAAAAAAUUAAACUUGUUCUCUGUCCAUUAGAUCCAGAAAAGAAAUUAUUUUGUGAAUAAUAAUGGCAUACAAGUUUAAAUCUUGCUCUAUGUUGCAAAAACCACACAAUCUUUUA